ACCUCAAGUCAUGUGAGAGUACCCGCUGAACUUAAGCAUAUCAAUAAGCGGAGGAAAAGAAACUAACAAGGAUUCCCCUAGUAACGGCGAGUGAAGCGGGAAGAGCACAAAUUUUAAAUCUACCUAGUUUCUAGGUCGAGUUGUAAUUUGAAGAAACGUUUUUUACGUUCCUGGUUGGGUUAAGUCCUUUGGGAUAAGGUAUCAUGGAGGGUGAGAAUCCCGUGUAUACCAACCACUAGAAUGUUAUUAAUACGAUUUCUAAGAGUCGAGUUGUUUGGGAAUGCAGCUCUAAAUGGGUGGUAAAUUUCACCUAAUGCUAAAUAUAGGCGAGAGACCGAUAGUGAACAAGUACCGUGAGGGAAAGAUGAAAAGAACUUUGAAAAGAGAGUUAAAUAGUACGUGAAAUUGUUGAAAGGGAAACGGUUGAAGUCAGUCAUGCCGGUAGGAAUCAAUUCAGGGGAAACUCUGAGUGCACUUCUUCAUUUGGCAGGUUAGCGUCGAUUUUGAAUUUCAUAAAAUGACUGGGGGAAGGUAGCUCCUUCGGGAGUGUUAAGCCCUUAGUAGAUGUGAUGUUCGGGAUCGAGGAUUGCAACGGAUACCCUUUGGGGCUAGCCACCUGGUCUCUAAUACGAAAUUGGGUUAUGGAUAGCAUGCUAACUAUGAUCUGAUUUUCGGUUAAAAGAUUAGAGUGAGUGUAAAUUCGUUAAGGACGCUGACGUAAUGGCUUUAAACGACCCGUCUUGAAACACGGACCA
This 755-nucleotide ribosomal RNA is filed under the name Cetraspora pellucida. Its description in RNAcentral is "eukaryotic LSU rRNA". It matches the Rfam family "Eukaryotic large subunit ribosomal RNA", at positions 1 to 668 of the family's 3401-position model. The record is from RNAcentral. Lineage: Eukaryota; Fungi; Glomeromycota; Glomeromycetes; Diversisporales; Gigasporaceae.